AGCGGUGUAGAGCAGUUUGGUAGCUCGUCAGGCUCAUGACCUGAAGGUCGUAGGUUCAAAUCCUACCGCCGCCA
This 74-nucleotide transfer RNA is filed under the name Schizocladia ischiensis. RNAcentral's name for it is "tRNA-fMet". It matches the Rfam family "tRNA". From Rfam's summary of the family: Transfer RNA (tRNA) molecules are approximately 80 nucleotides in length. Their secondary structure includes four short double-helical elements and three loops (D, anti-codon, and T loops). The record is from RNAcentral. Lineage: Eukaryota; Schizocladiophyceae; Schizocladiales; Schizocladiaceae.